GUGAAGCUUCUAUAAAUGUGAUUGUUGACAUUGAGGAUUGAAUGUGCAUGAAACUACAAAAAAUGACUCUUGGACAAAAGCAUAUCUUGGCCGCCAUGAUUUUAGUUCUUCUAUUCUCAGUAGGUAUGAGCAAACAAUAUUGUCCGGGCACAUGCACACAAUAUCCCAUCUGUAAUGCUACUUGUGUAGAAAAAUUUCACUAUCAGAUUGGACGAUGUGUUCAUGUUCCACCAAACAAUUACUUUUGUUGUUGUGCCAUGUACAGUAAUAAACUUGGAGAAUUUAAUUAGAGUGUUUCUUCUAAUAUGGGAGAAAACAUUGUGGUUUGUAAAUAAAUAAGUUUUAUUUUUGGGAAUGAAAACAUUAUAUAUGUUUUGAUGAAGCAUAGUUUUUAUCUA
Long non-coding RNA from Glycine soja, 398 nucleotides. RefSeq lists it as uncharacterized. Lineage: Eukaryota; Viridiplantae; Streptophyta; Magnoliopsida; Fabales; Fabaceae. The transcript has 2 exons. The record is from RefSeq and is a predicted model, not a curated record.